UGACGAAGUAACCGGCCCCACGAAAAAAAUUCCGGUUAAAAAUCGUAGCCUCAUCCUGGGCGCGAUGUAAACAUUCCGAUGUCAGUAUUGUUGUCGUAUUUCCUGGCUGUUUGUUUAUGUUUUAUAGAACAUUUUUAUAUGAAUCUUAUAAUUUUAUACUCAUCUAUGUAUUUACCAUGGAUCCAGGCGACCAAUCUUUAUCUUUAGAUGAAGUUAAAACAUGGAAAAUUGAAGCUUUGAAGCAAUUCUUGUCCGACCGUCGACUUGCUACGAAGGGGACAAAAGAUGAGUUAAGUGCACUAUGUAACGCCGUGCAGAAAAUGAACAUCGGCAAAGGUUUAAAAUCUUGUGAACUGUCAGAGCAAACUAAGAGAGAUUAUAGUAAACUUUUGAACAUAGGUGAUAUUACUAUUAUUAAAGAUCCAUUGCUUAUAUCAGAUGGCUGGCUCGAUGAAAAGAGUGGUAUUUCUAUGUGGCCCCAGUAUUUUGCCCAGAUAUCGUGAUUUUUUUUAUGUCAGCAGCUGAUCCAGCUUCAACACAAAAAUAUUUGAACGAAUAUUAAUUGGGAAAAGCCUACCAGUAUUUCUCGUCAAACUGGCUCAAAGAAGUGUUCUUCACAGCUGUUGGAAAUGGCUUAUGUGUGUUGCGUUCGAAGUGUACUCCAUCACAUAAUGCUGAGCACAAUGUGUGGGUGUGCGCAGAUGAAGAAAAAGGAGAGGUCAAAGGAGCAUACUGUUUGUGCACAGCUGGACUAGGACAGACAUGCAACCAUAUAGCUGGUGUGCUAUUCCGAGUGGAAGCUGCCAAUAAGCUUGGUAUAACAGCAUGUACUUCAGUGCCAUGCAGUUGGACUAUACCCAAUGCUUCAAAGUCUGUUCCCAAGCCAAAGAGAGUUCAAGACAUGCUGAUAAAGAAAACCAAGCACGGACAGAUAGGAAAGGCCAGGCCAUUGGUAUCCAACCCCAAGGCCAAGUAUACACCAAUUGCUAUAGGGAACCAUACUGAAAGACUCGCAUCUGUUCUUAGAGAAGUCGUUCCAAAUGCAUGCCUCUUUAAAGGCCUAGAUUUUCCAAGUGCAUCUGCUGAUGAGACGUGUGUACCUACAGCACUGUUUGACAUCAACCGAUACACAAUGAAUUAUAUUGUUGAAGAGU
Mizuhopecten yessoensis (Yesso scallop) is the source of this 1154-nucleotide long non-coding RNA. RefSeq lists it as uncharacterized. The record is from RefSeq and is a predicted model, not a curated record. The transcript has 4 exons. NCBI's taxonomy places the organism in Eukaryota, Metazoa, Mollusca, Bivalvia, Pectinida, Pectinidae.